Molecule: ribosomal RNA, 439 nt
Filed under: uncultured bacterium
Lineage: Bacteria
Description: partial 16S ribosomal RNA
Rfam family: Bacterial small subunit ribosomal RNA
Source: RNAcentral
CUACGGGUCGCUGCAGUGAGGAAUAUUGCACAAUGGGGGAAACCCUGAUGCAGCAACGCCGCGUGGAGGAUGACGCAUUUCGGUGUGUAAACUCCUUUUAUAUGUCAAGAAAAUGACGGUAGCAUAUGAAUAAGCACUGGCUAACUCCGUGCCAGCAGCCGCGGUAAUACGGAGGGUGCAAGCGUUACUCGGAAUCACUGGGCGUAAAGGACGCGUAGGCGGGUUGGAAAGUCAGGUGUGAAAUCCUACAGCUUAACUGUAGAACUGCACUUGAAACUUCUAAUCUAGAGUAUGGGAGGGGGAGAUGGAAUUAGUGGUGUAGGGGUAAAAUCCGUAGAUAUCACUAGGAAUACCUAAAGCGAAGGCGAUCUCCUGGAACAUUACUGACGCUAAGGCGUGAAAGCGUGGGGAGCAAACAGGAUUAGAUACCCCUGUAGUC